UCUAGAUCUGCUACAGCUAAUAACCCAGCCCAAUUUUGUGGACCUGACCCAGGAGGACUGUGAACACAAUGUCCAAGCUGGUCCAAGCAACUCUAUCAAUACCAGAAAUCCAACACACAGCCCCAUGAGAAAGAAAAGAGUGAUCGCUACAGUCAGUCCGGCACCGCGAGAGGAAUUACACAAUAAUAGAACGUCAGAGGUUGACAGAUCCAACGCUGAUACCGGACCUGAGAUAUUUCAAGACGGCGAACCCAUUGUUGCGGACAACGCUGCUGACUAGACCGAUACGCAAAUAAAUGCCUGGCAAAGGGCUAGUUGGUCGAGUGGCCGCAGCGAAGUUUCGUCACAGCCGGAUAGAGACACACCACCCGCUUUUGACGAUGUGUCCGAGGAGGAGGAGGCUGAAUUGCGUCCAGAGCUCCGUCGUAAUGAUCCUCAGAAUGAUGUUGUAAAUGAAAGAAUUGUAUCUUUGUUCGAAGAGCUGAUUGAAAGACAGGAGUCUUUAUACAACAAACUCUUUAUUAGGCAGGAUAAUUUCUUCACCGAAUUAAAUAA
This is a long non-coding RNA of Cyprinus carpio (common carp), 555 nucleotides long. RefSeq lists it as uncharacterized. The record is from RefSeq and is a predicted model, not a curated record. The transcript is spliced from 3 exons. NCBI's taxonomy places the organism in Eukaryota, Metazoa, Chordata, Actinopteri, Cypriniformes, Cyprinidae.